RNAcentral lists this long non-coding RNA (490 nucleotides) under Neodiprion lecontei (redheaded pine sawfly). RNAcentral's name for it is "uncharacterized LOC107226368". The record is from RNAcentral. Lineage: Eukaryota; Metazoa; Arthropoda; Insecta; Hymenoptera; Diprionidae.
CUCAACUAUAGAACUAUAACAACUGUAGUUUAGGAACACGGGUAUGUGGUAUUGAACAUCAAUCGGACUGUCCGCUAACCCCAAGUGACUAAAGUUAUUUGGUCCUUCGGUUGAAGUUUGACGAAAGUGGGCUGCCUAUUUUUAUAAACGAUUAGCCAAAAUGCCUGUUGGACCAUUGAAAAUGUUCGGCAGAAAACACGUUGAACAACUAAGCAGAUGGGUACCUACGUUGAUGACCUUUGGUGCCGCUUCAGGUCUAGGUGUUCUAUACUUUACUGAAUGGAAAGAAGUUCUCCAAUACGUGCCAGUUUGGAAUUUAAAAUACCGCGAAGAGUAACGGAACAGUUGCAUGUAUAAACGAAACAAUAUUACUACUAGUCGAUCAGCGUUUUCGCGUUAGAACGAUUACUGAGAAAGUUUAAAUAAUGUAAUUUGCCAGGUACAUAGAAUAAUUGUGACAAAUGUUAAGAUAAAACUAUGUAAGAUCCUA